Choloepus didactylus (southern two-toed sloth) is the source of this 636-nucleotide non-coding RNA. NCBI's taxonomy places the organism in Eukaryota, Metazoa, Chordata, Mammalia, Pilosa, Megalonychidae. The record is from the annotation of a RefSeq genome assembly.
AGGGUUGUGUCCACCAUGGCCUGGACUCCUCUCCUCCUUGUGCUCCUCUCUUACUGCACAGGUUCCCUCUCCCAGCCUGUGGUGACCCAGUUGCCCUCCCUCUCUGCAUCUCUGGGAUCCUCUGUGAGACUCCCCUGCACCCUCAGCAGUGGCUUCAGUGUUGGCAGCUAUACCAUAUACUGGUACCAGCAGAAGCCAGGGAGCCCUCCCCAGUAUCUCCUAUACUACUACUCAGACUCAAGCAAGCACCAGGGCUCCGGGGUCCCCAACCACUUCUCUGGAUCCAAAGACACCUCGGCCAAUGCAGGCCUUUUGCUCAUCUCUGGGCUCCAGGCUGAAGAUGAGGCUGACUAUUACUGUGCCAUCUGGCACAGUGGUGCUGCUCACAGUCACACAGGCCAAUGGGGAAGUUCCCUCUCUCAGCCUGUGGUGACUCAGCUGCCCUCCCUCUCUGCAUCUCUGGGAACAACAGCCAGACUCUCCUACACCCUGAGCAGUGGUGUCAAUGUUGGUGGCAAAAACAUAUACUGGAUCCAGCAGAAGCCAGGAGGUGCCCCCCAGCUUUUUCUCUACUACUACUCAGACUCAGAUAAGAAGCUGGGACAAAGUCCCCUGCUCCUGGCCAAGCCUUUCUGA